RNAcentral lists this ribosomal RNA (121 nucleotides) under Esox lucius (northern pike). Lineage: Eukaryota; Metazoa; Chordata; Actinopteri; Esociformes; Esocidae. The record is from RNAcentral.
GCUUACGGCCACACCUUCCCUGAGCACGCCCGAUCUCGUCUGAUCUCGGAAGCUAAGCAGGGGUCGGGCCCGGUAGUACUUGGAUGGGAGACCGCCGGGGGAAUACCAGGUGCUGUAAGCC